RNAcentral lists this ribosomal RNA (651 nucleotides) under Cercomonas rapida. RNAcentral's name for it is "eukaryotic LSU rRNA". The stretch from base 360 to 651 matches the Rfam family "Eukaryotic large subunit ribosomal RNA", at positions 1 to 286 of the family's 3401-position model. Lineage: Eukaryota; Cercozoa; Cercomonadida; Cercomonadidae. The record is from RNAcentral.
GCGCUUCUAGGAUAGGCCUGGAAGCAUGCCUCUUUGAGUAUCGUUUUCACCCCAGCUCGACAGCUUCUUUGUAAAAGAAGAAGUGUUAGUCGGAGAAUGAGUUUGUCUCGUCUGAAAUAGAUGAGUCACUUUAAAUGCUGUGAGCUUUCACCUAUAUACUUCAGUGCGCUCCUUUCGCUUCGGUGUAAAGGGGGCUUGGUUAACAAAACCAAUCGCUGAGUAGUGUGGAUAAACUUUAUUUACAUUACAACUGGCUUGAUUGGGUGUUGUUGAUUUGAGUACUGCAUUGUGAGUUUGGUUUUGAAACUCAGUGGAAAUUAAACAUCUUUGAUUGGUUUCGAUCAAUCAAUUUUUGAAUUAGAUCUCAAAUGAAGCAAGACUACCCGCUGAACUUAAGCAUAUUAUUAAGCGGAGGAAAAGAAACUAACAAGGAUGCCCUCAGUAACGGCGAGUGAAGCGGGCAAAGCUCAACCUGAAAAUCGGAUAUCCAAACGGGUGUUCGAAUUGUGGGCUAGAGAUGCAUGAUCAGUGUGUGACCUCGGUAUAAGUCUUUUGAAACAAGGCAUCAUAGAGGGUGAGAAUCCCGUCUUUGACCGAGAGUUCGCCACGUACGAUCUGCAGUCACAGAGUCGAGUUGUUUGGGAUUGCAGC